CAAAUUACUUUUGAGGAUUAUAGUCUUCCUUACAUUAAUUGCUUCAUUGUAGUGUACCAUAGACAACUCAUUUAAGACAUAAUUUCUUAUUUGUAGGAAGCAGCGUGUCCUGUCUUUGUAAGCUGUGCUAUUUAUUAGCUUGAGCCUCAUACAAACUUCUUUUGAUGAAACUCCAUGUGCCGUGAUUGAGAAGGACUUUUUACAUGACCAUAAUUUCAGCUGAUAUAAAAAUUCAAGGGGAUAAGGGACAGAUGCUCAGGCAUAUUACAUUGACCUAACAGCCAGUUGGGCACAGGUCGGACAGGAACAGUCCUGGUGAGAAGAGGGGAGCAAUGGACCAAACCUGAGAGUCUCCGGUGCACAAAUAGCAGAUCCCUGAUUUUGUCUUCUCCUCCCGGAGCACUGAAACCUGGGAAACAGCAGUGAAAUAACUGUCACUUUACACUAUGCCUAAGUGGGUUUGAUCUUAAGGAUCACUCACACCUGAGAGUCAAAGAGAGAAGAGUUCAAGACAUGAAUGAAGUCAUGAAUAAACAGCUGUGUAGGAGAACAAUCUGUCAUGAUUUUGAAAGAAAACAGUUUUCCUGGUUGCAUUCAAGGAACGUUGCUCCUUCCUUUCCCCAUCUCUUGACCGGCAGGAAGGCAGCUCUUGAGAUGCUUGAAGAGAUGAACUGGAGCUCAGGUUUGGGUUGUUGUUUUUUUUUUUCACAUUGACCUGUAGGAUUUUAAGCCUCUGUUUCCCCUGGCUGCUGCUAUGGGCUCCCAGAGCACGGUGUGGAGCUGAACGAGAACAGCUUUAGGCACCACUGUGCAGAGGCUGUAGGGGUUUCCAGGCAGCUUACACGAGGCCAACAGGCAGGAUGAGAUCUUGUCUACACAUGUUCUUCUACCAGCUCUGCCACUGGAAAUUUUCCUGAAAAGAAAAGGGGUUAUAUACUGCAAACAUUUCGUGUUUCUUUACUUAAAAGUAAAGAUGCAGCUGCUUUGCAGUUCUGUAGUUUUGGCUAGCACUACCUCUUUCUAUAUCCCUUCUUAACAUGGCAAAAAAGGUAUGGAUGUGCUAAGAAAAGAAGAAAUAUAUAGAUUUUGAAUAGGAGUUGUUAAAAUUAGAAAUUUUAAGUAAUCAUAGUUGCUUCUACUUCACAGAAAUUUAUAACUUCUAUUUUCAGUUUUUUUCUUAUUACUUUUAGAAAUUUUAUUUUUCUUUCUUUUUUCCCCCCUCUUUAUUUUGUAUACCACAAAGCAAUAAGCACACUUAAUC
Molecule: long non-coding RNA, 1261 nt
Filed under: Calidris pygmaea (Spoon-billed sandpiper)
Lineage: Eukaryota; Metazoa; Chordata; Aves; Charadriiformes; Scolopacidae
Description: lncRNA (ENSCPGG00000017030.1)
Source: RNAcentral